UACGGAGGGUGCGAGCGUUAAUCGGAAUUACUGGGCGUAAAGCGCGCGUAGGUGGCUAGAUAAGUCGGAUGUGAAAGCCCCGGGCUUAACCUGGGAACUGCAUUCGAUACUGUCUGACUAGAGUAUGGUAGAGGAAAGCGGAAUUCCCGGUGUAGCGGUGAAAUGCGUAGAUAUCGGGAGGAACAUCAGUGGCGAAGGCGGCUUUCUGGACCAAUACUGACGCUGAGGCGCGAAAGCGUGGGUAGCAAACAGG
This 253-nucleotide ribosomal RNA is filed under the name uncultured prokaryote. RNAcentral's name for it is "partial 16S ribosomal RNA". It matches the Rfam family "Bacterial small subunit ribosomal RNA", at positions 524 to 776 of the family's 1533-position model. The record is from RNAcentral.